UUUGGUUACUAAGCAACUGCUAAACGGACCAAAAUACUGAAUGUGAUAACAAGGACUGCACUUACCUUUCAUGACAAAAGCAACUCUCUUUCCCCAGGCUUUCGAAUGACAAUGACGACACCACACUCUGCAGUUGCAGGGCAGGCCUAUUCCAUACCAGGGAUUGUGGUGACAGCCAGGCUCGGAGGGGCUGCUGUCUCCAUUCACAGAAGGGACCAGAAACCACAGGAGGAGACAAUGGGAGGAACCAGGGAUGCAGUUGGCGAGGAAACGCUCUGAUUAUUAUUUUAAAAGUCGGCCAGAUGCAGUGGCUCAUGCCUGUAAUCCCAGCACUUGGGGAGGGCAAGGCAGGUGGAUCACCUGAGGUCGCGAGUUCGAGACUAGCUUGGCCAACAUGGU
RNAcentral lists this long non-coding RNA (399 nucleotides) under Homo sapiens (human). RNAcentral describes it as "HSALNT0126603". The record is from RNAcentral. Lineage: Eukaryota; Metazoa; Chordata; Mammalia; Primates; Hominidae.